RNAcentral lists this ribosomal RNA (301 nucleotides) under uncultured bacterium. RNAcentral's name for it is "partial 16S ribosomal RNA". It matches the Rfam family "Bacterial small subunit ribosomal RNA", at positions 509 to 808 of the family's 1533-position model. The record is from RNAcentral.
CAGUCGCACGGGAAUACAGAGGGUGCAAGCGUUAAUCGGAAUUACUGGGCGUAAAGCGCGCGUAGGUGGUUUGUUAAGUCGGAUGUGAAAUCCCCGGGCUCAACCUGGGAACUGCAUCCGAAACUGGCAAGCUAGAGUAUGGUAGAGGGUAGUGGAAUUUCCUGUGUAGCGGUGAAAUGUGUAGAUAUAGGAAGGAACACCAGUGGCGAAGGCGACUACCUGGACUGAUACUGACACUGAGGUGCGAAAGCGUGGGGAGCAAACAGGAUUAGAUACCCGAGUAGUCCCUGUCUCUUAUACC